Molecule: ribosomal RNA, 96 nt
Filed under: Triticum aestivum (bread wheat)
Lineage: Eukaryota; Viridiplantae; Streptophyta; Magnoliopsida; Poales; Poaceae
Description: partial small subunit ribosomal RNA
Source: RNAcentral
AUGUUACCUCUUCAACCACCGGGUUACUGGCGCCGGUGUCAUCCUGUCAAUGAGCAAGGUGUUGAUAAGGAGGACAGCAACAAACAACAAAUAUAA